CAAGGAAUAACCAAAUUUCUUAGUGGAUCUUCAUGGUAUCAUUUAUUCACACGUCUGUAGUCAAAAAGAUGGAAAAAGGUACAAUUUCUCUAAAAACAAAAGCAUGUUUCUAAAGCUCUUAGAAUUUUGUAUGUGCUGCCAAAUAAUUAUAAGCUGGCAUGCUUACUUCUUUUUAGCCGAGUCUUUCUAGAAUUGGAUAAUCAUAUAAUAAGAGUGUAUUCAUUUUUUUUGUU
RNAcentral lists this long non-coding RNA (233 nucleotides) under Populus tremula. RNAcentral describes it as "long non-coding RNA (PTRE_LNC001272)". The record is from RNAcentral. Lineage: Eukaryota; Viridiplantae; Streptophyta; Magnoliopsida; Malpighiales; Salicaceae.